This 67-nucleotide transfer RNA is filed under the name Peltoperlopsis cebuano. RNAcentral's name for it is "tRNA-Tyr". It matches the Rfam family "tRNA". From Rfam's summary of the family: Transfer RNA (tRNA) molecules are approximately 80 nucleotides in length. Lineage: Eukaryota; Metazoa; Arthropoda; Insecta; Plecoptera; Peltoperlidae. The record is from RNAcentral.
AGUAAAAUGGCUGAGAAUAUAGGCGGUGGAUUGUAAAUCUAUUUACGAAAGUUUAUUUCUUUUACUA